Long non-coding RNA from Oncorhynchus tshawytscha (Chinook salmon), 2824 nucleotides. The record is from Ensembl. Lineage: Eukaryota; Metazoa; Chordata; Actinopteri; Salmoniformes; Salmonidae.
AUCUGCACUUUAGCACCACUGCACCAGAGGUUGAAAUAGAGGAUUAGACUGGACCAGAGGUUGAAAUAGAGGAUUAGACUGGAACAGAGGUUGAAAUAGAGGAUUAGACUGGAACAGAGGUUGAAAUAGAGGAUUAGACUGGAACAGAGGUUGAAAUAGAGGAUUAGACUGGAACAGAGGUUGAAAUAGAGGAUUAGACUGGAACAGAGGUUGAAAUAGAGGAUUAGACUGGAACAGGUUGAAAUAGAGGAUUAGACUGGAACAGGGGUUGAAAUAGAGGAUUAGACUGGAACAGAGGUUGAAAUAGAUAGAGGAUUAGACUUGCAGUAGUUGGCUAGACUCGACGAGUAGUUUAGAUGGGUAUGGGUAUAAAACUAUCAGGUUUAGACGGCUUCAGCUACUGUACUUGCUUCUCCACUUGAACUAAGUAGUUUGGUUUCAAAACCCCUACAGAGGACUCACUAACUCUCACACACACUAGUGACUGUUGUUAAACAGAAGCACGCUGGAUCCUACAUAUCCACUACCACAGCGUUUCCCAAAACUAUUGGUCCCGGCCCCAUGUGGGGUCGCCUGAUUUUUAAAAAUGGGGUCGAAAAAAAAUACAAUAAAACCGCGCUUUGUUCAUAGAACCAGGGUUACAUCGGUAGCCUCGGUAACCUCUGGUAGCCUCUAGAUACAGUUGUAAUAAACAGAGCGGUUUCUUUUUUCUUCCUACAAAUGUGGCUCUAUCUUUUAAAAGAAACAACAUAUUAUUUUUUUGAUUUAUUUAACUAGGCAAGUCAGUUAAGAACAAAUUCUUAUUUUCAAUGACGGCCUAGGAACAGUGGGUUAACUGCCUGUUCAGGGGCAGAACGACAGAUUUGUACCUUGUCAGCUCGGGGGUUUGAACUUGCAACCUUCCGGUUACUAGUCCAACGCUCUAACCACUAGGCUACCCUAUGACCCCAUCACUGAAAAAUCAGACUCUCAGGAACACGGAUGUGUCUUCUGUUUCCUUCUACAAUGGCCACAAGCCUCAUUAGAACAGAGUGGACAAGACCAGGAACUAAAUCAGCUAAAACAAUAAGUUUACAUUAGCGAUGAUUUCAUCACUUUUUUUCUACAUGGUGGAGUCGUGAUGUUUUAUUAUAUCAAAAUGGGUCUGCAGACCAAACAGUUGGAACUCAUGCAGUACCAACUACUACAUAUCUACAUGUCCUCACCCCACCACUCUGUCUGCUCCACUCUCGGUACAUUAUGAUGGACAAGAUCUAUAGGUAUUCCUUUCAGUAUUAUAGCCUUGGAAAGGAGGUUGUGUGUUACUAAACCUGGUUACCACUGAGCCAGUCUCUUUUACUGUAGUUGCUCUCAUAAUCCAUCGCAUUUAGACUCAAUAUCAACCAUGCCUUGAAUGUUUUCCCCUACAGCCUGUAUGAUAAUGCUGCCUUGCCAGCUUUACUCCAGAAACUAAAUCACUUCUUUGUAGACAAACUAUUACAUGCCCUGGCUACAGUCUCUACCCUACUCUAACUCUUACCCCCUUCUUUCAUUCCCUACUAACCUACUCUAACCCCCUUCUUUCAUUCCCUACUAACCUACUCUAACCCCCUUCUUUCAUUCCCUACUAACCUACUCUAACCCCCUUCUUUCAUUCCCUACUAACCUACUCUAACCCCCUUCUUUCAUUCCCUACUAACCUACUCUAACCCCCUUCUUUCAUUCCCUAUUAACCUACUCUAACAACUCCUUCACUGUCUCCCCAACCCCUUCUUCACUGUCUCCCCAACCCCUUCUUCACUGUGUCCCAACAUCAGCCAAGUCUGUUUUCAUGGCUCUACUUUUAGAGAAAGCAGCCCUGUUGUUCCUCAGCACCAGAUAGUGACCAGGAGAGGGCGACAUUGGACACUAGGUCACAUGACUGUGGCUUCUCUAAAACCAGACGUUCUGCCAGAUGUUCUAUAGAAUCAAAGAAGAUAUACUAACAUUCUAUUCACUACCACUAAGGCCCUUCUAACCUCUCUGACUGGUCUCCUGCUGAGGGACAGAAAGGAUAGAACUACAUUUCUCCUCAUCGUUGCCUCUCUUCCUUACUUGUGCCAUCAGUGUUCACCCAUACCCUAACUGCUCAUCAACCAUCAACUUUAUUUAACCAUCAACCUUAUUAUUAACCGUGACCUUUAUUUGCCUACCAACCCUGACCCUUUGAAUUUUGUUCCCUGGCCUAUAGAGCCACGCGACUCAGAAAAACAUAUUAUUAUUACUAUCAUUGAUGUAGGAGUCAAGUUCAUGUUUAAACUUGUUUUGUGGUGCAAUUUCAUUAAUAAUCAUAUAUUUAUUAUUGGGACCAUCAUGAGUGUAUUGUAUAAAAAUUAAAAAUUGCCUUUUUGUUACAUUUUUGCAGCGUUGCAUUUUAAUGAAGGAUUUUUAGGAUGAAGUUUUAGGUUGUUCAACAUGUGUAUAGUGAUACCAGAUCUAAAAUGCAUAUCUGCAUCUUGGACGAUACUGGAAUACUGCAGGUUUUACCCGUGUGAAUGUUUUAGCUGUUAUUGAUCAUACAUAUAGGAUGACUUCAUUGUUACUCAUGUUUGGGACAAAGCCUUACAUAUGAUUUUAAAAACACUAUCAUCUCCUGUCUUUGUCUGUGUCCGUCUGUUACACGACUACUGUUUUAAAAAGUAGCAUUAUUAUUGAAUGUUUUGACAAGUUGUCCUUAGAUCUUAUUUCAGAGGCUGGGAUGGAAGGAUUGUUUUGACAAGUUGUCCUUAGAUCUUAUUUCAGAGGCUGGGAUGGAAGGAUUGUUUUGACAAGUUGUCCUUAGAUCUUAUUUCAGAGGCUGGGAUGG